UUAAGCACUCCGCCUGGGGAGUACGGCGGCAAGGCUGAAACUCAAAGGAAUUGACGGGGACCCGCACAAGCGGUGGAGCAUGUGUUUUAAUUCGAAGCAACGCGAAGAACCUUACCAGGUCUUGACAUCAUCUGACACUCCUAGAGAUAGGACGUUCCCCUUCGGGGGACAGAGUGACAGGUGGUGCAUGGUUGUCGUCAGCUCGUGUCGUGAGAUGUUGGGUUAAGUCCCGCAACGAGCGCAACCCUUGAUCUUAGUUGCCAGCAUUUAGUUGGGCACUGUAAGGUGACUGCCGGUGACAAACCGGAGGAAGGUGGGGAUGACGUCAAAUCAUCAUGCCCCUUAUGACCUGGGCUACACACGUGCUACAAUGGAUGGUACAAAGGGCUGCAAAACCGCGAGGUCGAGCCAAUCCCAUAAAACCAUUCUCAGUUCGGAUUGUAGGCUGCAACUCGCUUACAUGAAGCUGGAAUCGCUAGUAAUCGUGGAUCAGCAUGCCACGGUGAAUACGUUCCCGGGUCUUGUACACACCGCCCGUCACACCACGAAAGUUUGUAACACCCAAAGUCGGUGGGGUAACCUUUAUGGAGCCAGCCGCCUAAGGUGGGACAGAUGAU
RNAcentral lists this ribosomal RNA (617 nucleotides) under uncultured bacterium. Its description in RNAcentral is "bacterial SSU rRNA". It matches the Rfam family "Bacterial small subunit ribosomal RNA", at positions 860 to 1475 of the family's 1533-position model. The record is from RNAcentral.